GGGACGACGCUGGCGGCGUACCUAAACACAUGCAAGUCGAACGGGGUCCACGAAAGCUUGCUUCCUGACGACCUAGUGGCGAACCGGGUGAGUAACACGUGAGAAACCUGCCUCGGAGUGGGGAAUAACUCGGGGAAACUCGAGCUAAUACCGCAUACCUUCAGAUGAUCGCAUGGUCGACUGAAGAAAGAAUUUCGCUCUGAGAGGGUCUCGCGGCCUAUCAGCUUGUUGGUGGGGUAACGGCCUACCAAGGCAACGACGGGUAGCUGGUUUGAGAGAACGAUCAGCCACACUGGGACUGAGACACGGCCCAGACUCCUACGGGAGGCAGCAGUGGGGAAUCUUGCGCAAUGGGCGAAAGCCUGACGCAGCAACGCCGCGUGCGGGAUGACGGCCUUCGUGGUUGUAAACCGCUUUCAGCAGGGACGAAAUUGACGGUACCUGCAGAAGAAGCCCCGGCUAACUACGUGCCAGCAGCCGCGGUAAUACGUAGGGGGCGAGCGUUGUCCGGAAUCAUUGGGCGUAAAGAGCUCGUAGGCGGUUCAGUAAGUCGGGUGUGAAAGCUCCGAGCUCAACUCGGAGAGGCCACUCGAUACUGCUGUGACUAGAAUCCAGUAGGGGAGUGUGGAACUCCUGGUGUAGCGGUGAAAUGCGCAGAUAUCAGGAAGAACACCAGCGGCGAAGGCGGCACUCUGGGCUGGUAUUGACGCUGAGGAGCGAAAGUGUGGGUAGCAAACAGGAUUAGAUACCCUGGUAGUCCACACCGUAAACGUUGGGCACUAGGUGUGGGGAGGAUCAACCCUUUCCGUGCCGUAGCUAACG
This 822-nucleotide ribosomal RNA is filed under the name uncultured bacterium. RNAcentral describes it as "bacterial SSU rRNA". It matches the Rfam family "Bacterial small subunit ribosomal RNA", at positions 26 to 857 of the family's 1533-position model. The record is from RNAcentral.